RNAcentral lists this ribosomal RNA (446 nucleotides) under uncultured bacterium. RNAcentral describes it as "partial 16S ribosomal RNA". It matches the Rfam family "Bacterial small subunit ribosomal RNA", at positions 338 to 795 of the family's 1533-position model. The record is from RNAcentral.
CCUACGGGAGGCUGCCGUCGAGAAUCAUUCACAAUGGGGGAAACCCUGAUGGUGCGACGCCGCGUGGGGGAAUGAAGGUCUUCGGAUUGUAAACCCCUGUCAUGUGGGAGCAAAUUAAAAAGAUAGUACCACAAGAGGAAGAGACGGCUAACUCUGUGCCAGCAGCCGCGGUAAUACAGAGGUCUCAAGCGUUGUUCGGAAUCACUGGGCGGAAAGCGUGCGUAGGCUGUUUCGUAAGUCGUGUGUGAAAGGCGCGGGCUCAACCCGCGGACGGCACAUGAUACUGCGAGACUAGAGUAAUGGAGGGGGAACCGGAAUUCUCGGUGUAGCAGUGAAAUGCGUAGAUAUCGAGAGGAACACUCGUGGCGAAGGCGGGUUCCUGGACAUUAACUGACGCUGAGGCACGAAGGCCAGGGGAGCGAAAGGGAUUAGAUACCCGGGUAGUC